Non-coding RNA from Pangasianodon gigas (Mekong giant catfish), 74 nucleotides. Lineage: Eukaryota; Metazoa; Chordata; Actinopteri; Siluriformes; Pangasiidae. The record is from the annotation of a GenBank genome assembly.
GGCAUGGUGGCUUAGUGGUUAGCACUGUUGCCUCGUACCUCCAGGGGUUGGGGGUUCGAGUCCCGCCUCUACCC